Long non-coding RNA from Lepisosteus oculatus (spotted gar), 3549 nucleotides. Lineage: Eukaryota; Metazoa; Chordata; Actinopteri; Semionotiformes; Lepisosteidae. The record is from Ensembl.
UGAAACUUCCCCUGAUGACAUCACAGCCAAUCACCAGCCGCCAUUACUAGACUUAAAAGCUGCCGAAAAAAAAGCCUCCGGGGGUUGGGGCUGAGGCAAAAUUGUUGAAACUUUAAUGAUUUUUUUCCCCAGUGCAUUUUUUUAUUCUGAUAGGGGACUUUACAGAGCACAAAGGUACUGGAAAGGCAUUCAGCGCGAUGUACAUAAAGAUGAUAUGCCCUUCAGUGAGGAAUAGCGAUUACAGCUGCAGGAGAAAACCCGGCGGUGUCUUGGCAAUGGGUACAGUUUAAAUAGAUGCUGCUGGUGAAAUGUUCCCACAUCAUUUUCUUCUGAUCACUUGGCUCGUGACAAGUGUCUCUGCAGAUACCCCAGUCACCCCAGUCUCGGGGAGAUUUGGGGAGUGUGUUGUCUUGCCCUGCGAUGGAACAGCAGCUGUUGGAAACUCCGGGGAUCAGAUCGAUAUUCUGUGGAGACACUCGUUAGGAGACGUGUUGGUUUUCAGAAGCCAGAAGAAAGUUACAACCAACAUGCCAGUAGAUUGUGGGAAGAAACCGGAGCACCUGGAGGAAACCCACAUGAACAGGUGGAAGAACAUGGAAACUCCACACAGACAGCACCCCCAGAUCCAGAAUUGAACUCCAUGUAGCUGUUUAAAUCAUGUUUGCAAAUCAGUACUUGAGUGAUUUUCCACAAAUGUAGUGAUUCUACUGCGUUUUUUCAAUUGACUAAUUUAUAUGAAUUGGUGACAAUGCAAGGUUGCAGGAUAGUUACGUGUAUAGACCAUAAGUGUAUAGCCACCCUGGCUAUACACUUAUAUAUAUAUAAGUAUAUCCGUAUUAAGAAUUGAAUCUACAGAAACGCCCACUGCGAUGUCACUCAAGCGAGACUUCAGAGCCACAGAGCUGGGUUGGUGAGCAGACACGGAUGACCGUGGCCAAAACACCAUGCAGCGGGAGGAAACUGGUCAACUUCUAACGGAGAUGGAGGCGCUCUCUGGGUGCGUUACUCUGCUCUGCUUAAUCAAUAAGUAUGUUUUUUUUAUCAAGUUCGCUUCGAAUAUCACGAGUCUGUCGAAAAAGGAGGCCUGUUUCUCCUACAUCAUGAGAAAAAGUGUGGAAUGCGCCACUUCAUUACGUAAUCUAUUUUAUUGAUUAAAUUAAGGCUAUAUGUACUUUAAAGUGAAGUUAUUUUAAUUGCUUUUGAUCUGACACAGUAUCAGAUAUCUGUAGCAGGAGGUAAGAGAGGUGACAGCAGUUUUAAUUCGAUAAAAUCUCCUUUCAUCGAGCCUCUUGUCUGUAUUCGGUCGGGUACUUGACAUGACACCAGAUAGUCGUUAUUUUCACUGUGCUGUUUGGAACUUUCCUGUGCAUUUAAAACAUUUAACAUAAAAACAUAACAUGAAACAUAAAAAUCAUUUUAAUCAGGAAGAAGUACUCGGUCACUGCUAAUGUACGUUAACCUGAUUCGCAUCCAGACUUUCACGUAUUUACCUGCAGCUACAUCCACCUGAGCUGAUCUAAUUUCAACGACUAUAGUGUUACACUAGUUAAAGGUUUCUAGAUGGGUAUUUAUACUUCCUGGUUAUGUAUGCGUGUUGAUUUGUCAAAGAGUGAAAUAUAUCUCUGUGCAUAUUAUUGUAGCGUUUGCAGGUUCUUUACAGAACAAGGACGAGUGGAGACACAAUUAACAAACAAGCAUUAGCUUUAUUCGUUUACAACCACACAAAACCAAACACAGGAUCUACACACACAUGAGGAGACUGACAGAACACGUAUACAUAGUUAGGGUGGUAAUUACCUAACAACACACUACACUUUUACAGGACUACACAGGGCACUAGAAUCACUAGGACAUUAUUUACACAGGUAGGGUCAGCCGCUGGUCAUCGUGCUGACCCUCAGACUCUCCCCGGCUACCACUCCCAGCAUGCCCAGCGGUACUACGAGCGCCUAGGGGCGCUUCCUCCUCACCACCAGGCGAGGGCGUUACAUUAUUAAAGCCACAGUAACCCAGCUAAUCUGAUAGGUACUCGUGUCCUGAGAAUUUGUCAGAAAACCCUUCUCGUUGUGUUCUGAUUUUUUACAAAUGGCAUCCAGCACUGAGCAUUACUGUGCUAGGUUUAUCCAUCAGAUAGCAUAAACUCGUCUGUUUCUGCUGUGGCGACCUUGAUUCUAUUCUGACAGCCGCUGGCGCAAAACUACAGACAAUUCAGAGCCAACCAAUUAACCCUAAUUAGCUCAGCCAACAUGUCUUCGGAUUGUAGGAGGAAACCUAGACACGUGGAAAACAUCCAAAUUGCACACAGAAGGUUCCCGUAAACUAGAAUCUAACCCGCGACGUGAGAGGCUACGAGGCACCGCAGUGCUAAUUGCCACGCCCUUCUACCGCCUUCAAUCUUGUUUCAAAGGGCUUUGGUUUCGAGAGCUAAAGCUUAUUUAGGGAUAUCUUCUCCUCUGUGGUCACUCUAGAUAGCGCGGCGUGGGGAGGUCACUCGGGAGCGCUGGGGACGAGGUCUGUCCGACUCGGGGACACGGUGACCCUGCACUGCGACAUCUCGCUCCGGUACGAAGCCAUGUGGCUCAUCCAACGGCCCGACCAGACUCUGUCUCUGGGUGUUAUAGCCAGUAAAAACAAGGUGGGCCCCGAAACUCAUAUAUCCGUCUAUAGCGGCGACACCGACCCACGGUUCGGCGCCGAGCUGAACUCGACCACCGGCUCCAUCAGUCUGAGGAUCCGGAACGUCACCCAGUCGGACCUGGGGCUGUACUAUUGUGCCGAGAGACACCUGGAAAGCCUUAACAUUGGACGGGGAAUCAGGCUCGUCCAUGAGGGUGAGAGGGGUGGCUUUUUCGAGUUUUAAAAUACAGAUUCAUUUUUUUUUUCAAAUCAAACUACGACCAUACAAAGCCUAUCAAGUCAACAGUUUGUAUCGAAAACACUUAUAACUCGCCGUGAGUCAUACUUUAUUUUUGGAGAACACAUAUUAGAAUAAACAAGCAAAUAAGACAGCACUUGAGCUGCAAACCUGAAGUGUGGUUUUCACAGAGCUGGUCACGUAUCGGUGCUACUAAAGUACAAAAUCAGUCUAAACACCGUUAAGUUGCCAAGAUGCAAACAAAAAAAGAUGACAUAAAGCUUAGUCUGGGUUGCAGGAUGGCACAGUGGUCAGUACUCGGUACUCAGUACUGCUGCCUUGUAGAACUGGGGCUCUGGGUUCAAUUCUGGACAUGGGCUGCAGUCUGUGUUGAGUUUGCAUGUUCUGUUUGUGUGGGUUUCUUUUGGAUGCUCUGGGUUAAUGCUGGGGGGUUAAUGAGCCCUGGUGUGUGUGUGUGUGUGUGUGUGUGUGUGUGUGUGUGUGUGUGUGUCUCCUGUCCAGGGUCAACCCUGCCUUGUGCCUCUUGCUUGCUGGGAUAGACUCCAGCUCCCCCUGUGACCUGGAUACAGCUGUUAGAAAAUGGAUGGAGGGAUUAAGCUUAUUUUGUUUCUAAAUAUCCUUCUACAAUGAUAACGGUGUUGUUCAGAAGAAGGUGUAGAUGAUCAUCCCAGCUC